AAACCCCGUGAAAGGGCCCCACAAUGUCCCCCUUGCACGCGUGCUCCAUCCGACGGUCAUCAUUGCAUCCGCAAUAGACGGAAAGCAUUUCCAAGGCCCCCAAUCCGACGGCUCCCACGCUCCGUGUUUGACUCCUCUAUGUCUAAGUCCCUGCACGCAUCCCAACGAAACUCCAAAAUUAAAUACCACCACUCCCAAACACGCCCUCCCCAUCUCUGUCUCUCUCAUCUCUCUCUCUCACUAGAAGCAAGCAGUAGUGGUAGAUCUUGUUUAGCAGCGCAAAUCUAGGGAAUUUUUAUCUCAGAAAAACGUACUGAAAUACGAAAUCUGAAAUCUGAUCCUCUGUAAUCGUUAACCUGGAUUUGUUCUGCCAUCUUCUCCUUCAACCUAGUGGAAUUUUGUGACUAUUUACUAUUGACUUGGUAUUGAAGAAGUAAAAUCAAGAUGCCGUGGACGUCUUCUUUUGUGAAUUA
Prunus avium (sweet cherry) is the source of this 473-nucleotide non-coding RNA. The record is from RefSeq and is a predicted model, not a curated record. NCBI's taxonomy places the organism in Eukaryota, Viridiplantae, Streptophyta, Magnoliopsida, Rosales, Rosaceae.